This 253-nucleotide ribosomal RNA is filed under the name uncultured bacterium. Its description in RNAcentral is "partial 16S ribosomal RNA". It matches the Rfam family "Bacterial small subunit ribosomal RNA", at positions 524 to 776 of the family's 1533-position model. The record is from RNAcentral.
UACGAAGGGGGCUAGCGUUGCUCGGAAUCACUGGGCGUAAAGCGCACGUAGGCGGAUUGUUAAGUCAGGGGUGAAAUCCUGGAGCUCAACUCCAGAACUGCCUUUGAUACUGAAGAUCUUGAGUCCGGGAGAGGUGAGUGGAACUGCGAGUGUAGAGGUGAAAUUCGUAGAUAUUCGCAAGAACACCAGUGGCGAAGGCGGCUCACUGGCCCGGUACUGACGCUGAGGUGCGAAAGCGUGGGGAGCAAACAGG